GCAGUCGAACGGCAGCACAGUAAGAGCUUGCUCUUAUGGGUGGCGAGUGGCGGACGGGUGAGGAAUACAUCGGAAUCUACCUUUUCGUGGGGGAUAACGUAGGGAAACUUACGCUAAUACCGCAUACGACCUUCGGGUGAAAGCAGGGGACCUUCGGGCCUUGCGCGGAUAGAUGAGCCGAUGUCGGAUUAGCUAGUUGGCGGGGUAAAGGCCCACCAAGGCGACGAUCCGUAGCUGGUCUGAGAGGAUGAUCAGCCACACUGGAACUGAGACACGGUCCAGACUCCUACGGGAGGCAGCAGUGGGGAAUAUUGGACAAUGGGCGCAAGCCUGAUCCAGCCAUACCGCGUGGGUGAAGAAGGCCUUCGGGUUGUAAAGCCCUUUUGUUGGGAAAGAAAAGCAAUCGAUUAAUACUCGGUUGUUCUGACGGUACCCAAAGAAUAAGCACCGGCUAACUUCGUGCCAGCAGCCGCGGUAAUACGAAGGGUGCAAGCGUUACUCGGAAUUACUGGGCGUAAAGCGUGCGUAGGUGGUUGUUUAAGUCUGUUGUGAAAGCCCUGGG
Molecule: ribosomal RNA, 562 nt
Filed under: bacterium 65-L049642-122-014-A09
Lineage: Bacteria
Description: bacterial SSU rRNA
Rfam family: Bacterial small subunit ribosomal RNA
Source: RNAcentral